CCUACGGGUGGCAGCAGUCGAGAAUCUUUCACAAUGGGGGAAACCCUGAUGCUGCGACGCCGCGUGGGGGAAUGAAGGUCUUCGGAUUGUAAACUCCUGUCAUGUGGGAGCAAAUUAAAAAGAUAGUACUACAAGAGGAAGGGACGGCUAACUCUGGGUCAGCAGCCGCGGUAAUACAGACGUCUGUAGUGUUGGUCGGAAUCACUGGGCGGAAAGCGUGCGGAGGUUGUUUGGUAAGUCGUGUGUGAAAGGCGCGGGCUCAACCCGUGGACGGCACAUGAUACUGCGAGACUAGAGUGAUGGAGAGGGAACCGGAAUGCUCGGUGUAGCAGUGAAAUGCGUAGAUAUCAAGAGGAACACUCGUGGCGAAGGCGGGUUCCUGGACAGUAACUGACGCUGAGGCACGAAGGCCAGGGGAGCGAAAGGGAUUAGAUACCCCUGUAGUC
This 446-nucleotide ribosomal RNA is filed under the name uncultured bacterium. RNAcentral's name for it is "partial 16S ribosomal RNA". It matches the Rfam family "Bacterial small subunit ribosomal RNA", at positions 338 to 795 of the family's 1533-position model. The record is from RNAcentral.